RNAcentral lists this long non-coding RNA (263 nucleotides) under Homo sapiens (human). RNAcentral's name for it is "HSALNT0321628". The record is from RNAcentral. Lineage: Eukaryota; Metazoa; Chordata; Mammalia; Primates; Hominidae.
CUGCCAUGUGAAGGAGGAUGUGCUUGCUCCCCCUUCCACCAUGAUUGCAAGUUUCCUGAGGUCUCCCCAGUCAUGCUGAGCUUUGCAUCUUUUCAACAAAGUUGACUCUCUCCCUACAAAGGAAAGUUUGUAUCAGCUACUGAGAAGACUUGGACUGGAACUUACUUCACCAGAUCUCAUGGUUCUUGGGCCUUCAGACUCAGGUUGGAACUAUGCUAUCAGCUUUCCUGGAUCUCCAGCUUGCUGACUACACAAUCUAGGAC